This is a non-coding RNA of Salvia hispanica, 867 nucleotides long. NCBI's taxonomy places the organism in Eukaryota, Viridiplantae, Streptophyta, Magnoliopsida, Lamiales, Lamiaceae. The record is from RefSeq and is a predicted model, not a curated record.
ACGGAGACGACAUAGGAGAGAAGAAAUUGAGAUACUUCCAUUGAGCAAUUGAGGAGAGGAGCGAUUCUGAAGGAAUUGAGCGUGAGCAGACGAAGAGAGAAAAGAAAGGAGAAAAUUCCAGCAAUCAUCUACUCCAAAUUUACUCUAUGAUUUGUAUGCGAGAUCGGGAUUUGAGGAAAAAUCAUUUCCAAGGAGAGGAGGAUGAUAUGACCACGUGUGCCGGACAUCAAUAAUCACUUCGACGACGUGAGCCGUGGAUAGAUUGGGGCCAAGGAUGAAAGAGAAGGCACUUCCACGAUACUACAAAGCUCGAUGGUCUCCCGAGGAUGAUAGGAAAGGAAAACACUCGGAUUUGAGGAUAAAUCAUUUCCAAGAAGGAGAGAAUGAUAUGAUCAUGGGAGCUGUGCGUCAAACGUUUCAGCCGCAGCUGGAUUCCAAAAGUAACCGGCCUAUUGAAAUGACGUCCAGAUGCUUAUCAAAGACCACAAAUGUCUUUGUCUUUGAAAGAGGAUCGCGUGAGUAUCUUGCACAGCUCAAUCGGAGUCCAGAGGAGAGAGUUAUGACCAAUUUACGAAAGCUCCGCGCUGAGGAGCGGAUGGUCCAGAGAGAACGCUCAACCGGGCGUUCUAUGAUCUAGAAAACACUCGGUCGGGCGUUUUUGUCCGAUUUUAGGAAUUGAGGUAGAAAGUUCACUCGGUCGGGCGUUAGCACUGUUUAGGCCGAUUUUAUCCAUUUUUUAGGCUUUUUCUUUGAUUUUCAACCCCACCUAUAUAUAGUCAUUUGUGAGACUUUAAACAAAAAGUUGAUUGAUGAUUGUUGAAUGUUAAAAGACUCCUAUGGAGCAUCUCUUUGUGAGAUUUUUUCCAA